GUCUGGUCGUCCUACCAGUAGCCCUUGGUGUGUCAUAGCUUGGGGAAGAGAUUUCUAGCCAGCUCUACCAGUUUUAAUGGAAGUUUUCCUACGAGAAGUGAAAAGAGAGAGGAAUCGGUUGGGUCCAGUGGCUUUCAGACCAAUUUCUUAAUGAUCCAACCGUCGGAUUGGCAAUCUGAAACCACUCUUAGAUUCAACACACUGAAAUCUUCAAGAUGGGACUAACCCAUCUUCAAUUAAACAUCCUUCAGAUAAGGUGAUCAUUGAAUGGUCCAGAUUGC
Molecule: unclassified non-coding RNA, 281 nt
Filed under: Hevea brasiliensis (rubber tree)
Lineage: Eukaryota; Viridiplantae; Streptophyta; Magnoliopsida; Malpighiales; Euphorbiaceae
Source: RNAcentral